This 155-nucleotide microRNA precursor is filed under the name Pelobates cultripes (western spadefoot toad). The record is from RNAcentral. Lineage: Eukaryota; Metazoa; Chordata; Amphibia; Anura; Pelobatidae.
GCUGACACAUCCCGGCCAAUCUCCAGCAGACCCUCCCUCCCAGACCCUCCCACCUCCUGGACAGCAUCCAUGUUGAAGGCACCUCCUGGAUGCUGUCCAGGAGGUGGGAGGGUCUGGGAGGGAGGGUCUGCUGGAGUUUGGCCGGGAUGUGUCAG